GACGAACGCUGGCGGCGUGCUUAACACAUGCAAGUCGAACGGAAAGGCCCUGCUUUUGUGGGGUGCUCGAGUGGCGAACGGGUGAGUAACACGUGAGUAACCUGCCCUUGACUUUGGGAUAACUUCAGGAAACUGGGGCUAAUACCGGAUAGGAGCUCCUGCUGCAUGGUGGGGGUUGGAAAGUUUCGGCGGUUGGGGAUGGACUCGCGGCUUAUCAGCUUGUUGGUGGGGUAGUUGCUUACCAAGGCUUUGACGGGUAGCCGGCCUGAGAGGGUGACCGGCCACAUUGCGACUGAGAUACGCACCAGAAUCCUACGGGAGGCAGCAGUGGGAAAUAUUGCACAAUGGGCGGAAGCCUGAUGCAGCAACGCCGCGUGCGGGAUGACGUCCUUCGGGUUGUAAACCGCUUUCGCCUGUGACGAAGCGUGAGUGACGGUAAUGAGUAAAGAAGCACCGGCUAACUACGUG
RNAcentral lists this ribosomal RNA (468 nucleotides) under uncultured bacterium. RNAcentral describes it as "partial 16S ribosomal RNA". It matches the Rfam family "Bacterial small subunit ribosomal RNA", at positions 28 to 507 of the family's 1533-position model. The record is from RNAcentral.